CCCAGUUCCAAAAGACACAACAUCCUCAGUGUCCUGGAGCUCCAGCUGAAGCACUGGCCACUCCACCUUCUCCAUCCCCACCCAAAAGAGGUACUUCUAAGGCAGCUCGUUGAAGGUGUGAUUGAGGUCCAUGCCAGAGGGGUUCUGCACUGUGACCUCAAGCCAUAGAACAUCCUGGUUCAGAUGUACAGUUAGGAACCACGCCUUCAUCUUCUGUUCUUCUGGACCUUCCUCAUGAGUGGUUUACCCAUGAGACCAAAUCCUCCACAGUGUUGCAGAUAGGAAUCAUCCUGCUGUGUGUGAGAGGUGACCCUUCAACACCAGCACGGAGAUCACCUCAAAGAAGUCUCAGAUCAUCUCUCCACCAUCUGCUCUAUGACCCCUGGCUAAGUAUACACCACGACACAGCCACCACAUCAGGCACACCUCAGUCAGGUACCAUAUAAAACAAUAAUAAUAAUUUUAAAAAAUCUAUAUUUUCAAUCUCUAGUUUAGAGAGUUCUCUAGUAGAGCUGGGCGAUUAAUCGAUUUUAUCGAUAAAUUCGAAUUUAUAGUUAAGGACAAUGUGUUUUUAUGAAAAUCGAUUUUCUCUGAGUUUUCUUUUUCACCACAGACGCUCCUCUGUGGGCACAGAGUGAGCUUAGCUAGCUCCCUCCAUACCUCCCUCCCUCCAGCGCGCGCACCCCCCGCCCCUCCCUCACUCCCUCCCUCCCUCCCUUGCACGCACAAACACACACGCACACACACAUACACAAAACACAUGACUGCGGAGCUUAAGAGCAACUGGCUCCGUGAUCUGGAGUUGGUUCAGUUUUGCGGCGUCGGACGUAGACCAAACAGGUCCUCGCUGUAAGGUGAACCAAUUUAUCA
This is a long non-coding RNA of Astyanax mexicanus (Mexican tetra), 870 nucleotides long. RefSeq lists it as uncharacterized. The record is from RefSeq and is a predicted model, not a curated record. The transcript is spliced from 3 exons. Lineage: Eukaryota; Metazoa; Chordata; Actinopteri; Characiformes; Acestrorhamphidae.